AAGGAUCAUUAAAUAAUCAAUAAUCUUGGCUUGUCCAUUAUUAUCUAUUUACUGUGAACUGUAUUAUUAUUUGACAUUUGAGGGAUGUUCCAAUGUUAUAAGGAUAGACAUUGGAAAUGUUAACCGAGUCAUAAUCAGGUUUAGGCCUGGUAUCCUAUUAUUAUUUACCAAAUGAAUUCAGAAUUAAUAUUGUAACAUAGACCUAAAAAAUCUAUAAAACAACUUUUAACAACGGAUCUCUUGGUUCUCGCAUCGAUGAAGAACGUAGCAAAGUGCGAUAACUAGUGUGAAUUGCAUAUUCAGUGAAUCAUCGAGUCUUUGAACGCAACUUGCGCUCAUUGGUAUUCCAAUGAGCACGCCUGUUUCAGUAUCAAAACAAACCCUCUAUCCAACUUUUGUUGUAUAGGAUUAUUGGGGGCCUCUCGAUCUGUAUAGAUCUUGAAAUCCCUGAAAUUUACUAAGGCCUGAACUUGUUUAAAUGCCUGAACUUUUUUUUAAUAUAAAGGAAAGCUCUUGUAAUUGACUUUGAUGGGGCCUCCCAAAUAAAUCUUUUUUAAAUUUGAUCUGAAAUCAGGCGGGAUUACCCGCUGAACUUAA
RNAcentral lists this ribosomal RNA (597 nucleotides) under Mucor racemosus. RNAcentral's name for it is "eukaryotic LSU rRNA". The stretch from base 221 to 373 matches the Rfam family "5.8S ribosomal RNA". Lineage: Eukaryota; Fungi; Mucoromycota; Mucoromycetes; Mucorales; Mucoraceae. The record is from RNAcentral.